Molecule: non-coding RNA, 40 nt
Filed under: Trypanosoma brucei brucei
Lineage: Eukaryota; Euglenozoa; Kinetoplastea; Trypanosomatida; Trypanosomatidae
Source: RNAcentral
AACACCAUGAUUUGAUGUAGUAAAUGAUGAUGUAAAUAUA